Molecule: long non-coding RNA, 1293 nt
Filed under: Sus scrofa (pig)
Lineage: Eukaryota; Metazoa; Chordata; Mammalia; Artiodactyla; Suidae
Description: lncRNA (ENSSSCG00025011931.1)
Source: RNAcentral
GCGCGCCGGGCUAGGGCAUCGCGGGAGUGGUGUUUCCGAUCUACGCUGCUUCGGUCUCUGUGUUACCGCGUGGGGCCUCAACUUCUGAACUCGCUUACCCUCAGCUUCCUGGGCCACAGCUCAUUGUUCUCCCUUAACUGCGCGGUGUCGGCGUCCUCGCUCGUGGUGUACUCGCAGUUCGCUUUCCGGGUGCUGGCAUUCACAAGAAUGGCUCAGUAAUCUAGGCCUUUAGGUGUCAUCCUUACCCUCUCCCCGCACCAUGACGGUGGAGACGCAUUGGGGAGGAAAAGUGAACCCCUUAAGAGGACUGCUCCGAGGGCAAAUGGAACUAGCUCAGCAGCUUGCCACCCCUGGGUGCCUGGCCGGGUAAACAAAGUAAGCUCAGGUGGUUCUGUAGGCCAGUGAUGCUCACUCUGGCUGCUACCCAGGUCGGGAUGUGUGUGUGUGUGUGUGUGUGUGUGUGCUGCUACCCAGGGCGGGGUGUGUGUGUGUGUGUGUGUGUGUGUGUGCUCUGCCCCAGGUGGGGGUGUGUGUGUGUGUGUGUGUGUGUGUGUGUGCUCUGCCCCAGGUGGGGGUGUGUGUGUGUGUGUGUGUGUGUGUGUCGGGGUGUGUGUGUGUGUGUGUGUGCGUGCGCGUGCGCUGCUACCCAGGUCGGGCUGUGUGUGUGUGUGUGUGUGUGUGUGUGUGUGUCUUUUUAGGGCCGCACCCGCCUGUAGCCGCUUACGCCAGAGCCACAGCAACGCGGGAUCUGAGCCACAUCUGCGACCUACACCACAGCUCAGGGCAAUGCUGGAGUCCUAGCAGAUUGAGCGAGGCCAGGGAUCGAACCUGCGUCCUCAUGGAUGCCAGUCACAUUCCUUUCGUUGAGCAAGGCGGGGAACCCUGCAGGUCUGGAUUUCUGUAGCAGGCUUUUAUGUAGACUUCCUGAAACUGUGUUCAGUGUCACUACCUCCAGCUGGUGACUGCCAUCUAAAAUGAAAAUCUCCUUCCUGGCACUCACCCUGGCUUUCAGCUUCACUCUGUUACCCACACUGCAAUGUCCAGGUGUGUUCUGUUCAGUAAGAAGAGGUGUUCCUCUAAGAAAUAUCCCGUAGGAGAUCCUGUCGUGGCGCAGUGGUUAAUGAAUCUGACUAGGAACCAUGAGGUUGCGGAUUCGGUCCCUGACCUUGCUCAGUGGGUUAAGGAUCCGGCGUUGCAGUGAGCUGUGGUGUAGGUGGCAGACGCGGCUUGGAUCCCGCGUUGCUGUGGCUCUGGUGUAGGCCGGCAGCUACAGCUCCGAUUCAACCCCUAGAA